Molecule: long non-coding RNA, 1497 nt
Organism: Aegilops tauschii subsp. strangulata
Lineage: Eukaryota; Viridiplantae; Streptophyta; Magnoliopsida; Poales; Poaceae
Source: RefSeq, a predicted model, not a curated record
UAAUUAUGAGAUGUUGAUUUUUUUUAGAUAUAUAUUAGAUGUUGAGUUUAUUUGAAAUAUGAGAUGUUGAUUUACUUGAACACAUAUGACAUACUAGAUAUAUAUGAGAAUUUACAAUCAUUUGAGAUGAACUCAUAUAUGUUUAUUUGGGAUGAACUCAUAUAUGUUCAUUGUUUGAACUUUGUAAGGAUGGUUUGGCUUCUCGACAAUGCCAUUGACACACAACACCGGGCCUGCAUGAUGCGCGAGAAGGGGCUGGUAAUAAUGAGUAAUCCAAAUAUUUAGCAAAUUUGCCUUUAGUUGAAAUUGACAUGCCCUAAGAUUUGUCAUUACUUUUUUUUGUAGAAGCUUGAACCUCUGAAGAUUCGGUAUCACGGGGUCUCUGGUCCUGCCAUGCCUUACGAUGAGCGGUACACACUGUACAUCAAGCAGGCAGGACCACUCCUGUGGAUUCAGUUGGUCAGCCGGUCGACGCCGAAUCUGAACGAUCCACUGGUGUCCGCUCUUGUUGAUCGGUGGAGGCCGGAGACGCACAGUUUCCAUCUUCGGACUGGGGAGAUGACCGUGACGCUCGAGGAUGUCUCGUUGAUCACCGGUCUUGCUAUCAACGGGAUGCCUCUCUGUAUGAGCACCGAUUCUGAUGGGUGGCGCGAGCAGAUGAUUGCUCUUAUCGGUAAGGCUCCUACCGAGGCUGAGGCUGAUGUAGAGGAGGGAGAAGAGCCGAAGAAGAAGGAAAGGAAAGCAGCCGACGCUGCUUUCACGUGGAUUCAAGCAAACUUUGCGCAUUGCCCUGCGGAUGCCACUGAUGAUGUGAUACAGACACAUGCUCGUGUCUAUAUGUGGUACGUUGUCUCGAGGACUUUGUUUCCUGACUCCACGGGCAAGAACGCUCCAUGGAUGUGGCUGAAGGCGUUGACCGUCUUCGAUAGCAAAUGGAGCUGGGGUUCAGCGAUUCUUGCGUACUUGUACCGACAGGUAGUUGGUUUGUUUUGUUAUCAACUCAUUUGUUCAUUACCAAUGCAACCUUGUUGUCAACUUAACAUUGUUUUUCUUUCAUAUGCAGCUGGACGAUGCGUGUUGCAGGAUCACAGAUAGGGCAGGCAUUGGUGGUAAUAUGCUUCUACUUUCUGUAUGGAGCUGGGAGCGUCUGCCUGUUGGACGCCCGAAGAGCGUCAGGUUUAAUCCUUGGUAUGAAGAUGAAGAUGACGACUUACGGCGCCCCACUUGGGCUUACAAGUGGGAUGUGGUUUCCGAGAUGAUGAACGAUGUCAAUCUCAUGUACCAAAAGUACAUUGCCGAGUUGGACACGAUUACGCCUGAGCAGGUGGAAUGGCAGCCAUAUGGCGCCGAUGACAGACUUGGGUACACCCCGGAGUUUUCCAUCAACCCGAUGUGCUUGCGGGAUAGGGAUCUCUGGCUUAUGCGGUGCCCACUGAUAUGCAACUGGGCUGUUGAGUUUCAUUUGCCACAUCGCGUGUUUCGUCAGUUUGGUCUGUU